CCUACGGGAGGCAGCAGUGAGGAAUAUUGGUCAAUGGACGCGAGUCUGAACCAGCCAAGUAGCGUGAAGGAAGACUGCCCUAUGGGUUGUAAACCUCUUUUAUCUGGGAAUAAAACAGGCUAUGCGUCACCUCUUGUAUGUACCCUAUGAAUAAGCAUCGGCUAACUCCGUGCCCGCAGCCGCGGUAAUACUGAGGAUUCGAGCGUUAUCCGGGUUUAUUUGGUUUAAAGGGAGCGGAUGGGGAUUGUUAAGUCAGUUGGGAAAAUUUGGGGCUUAAACCUAGAAUUGCAGUUGAAACUGGCGGACUUGAGUACAGAAGAGGUAGGCGGAAUUAGUGGUGUAGCGGUGAAAUGCUUAGAUAUCACGAAGAACUCCGAUUGCGAAGGCAGCUCACCGGACUGCAACUGACGCUGAUGCACGAAAGUGUGGGUAGCGAACAGGAUUAGAUACCCUGGUAGUC
RNAcentral lists this ribosomal RNA (460 nucleotides) under uncultured bacterium. Its description in RNAcentral is "partial 16S ribosomal RNA". It matches the Rfam family "Bacterial small subunit ribosomal RNA", at positions 338 to 795 of the family's 1533-position model. The record is from RNAcentral.